RNAcentral lists this ribosomal RNA (467 nucleotides) under uncultured bacterium. RNAcentral's name for it is "partial 16S ribosomal RNA". It matches the Rfam family "Bacterial small subunit ribosomal RNA", at positions 28 to 506 of the family's 1533-position model. The record is from RNAcentral.
GACGAACGCUGGCGGCGUGCUUAACACAUGCAAGUCGAACGGAAAGGCCCUGCUUUUGUGGGGUGCUCGAGUGGCGAACGGGUGAGUAACACGUGAGUAACCUGCCCUUGACUUUGGGAUAACUUCAGGAAACUGGGGCUAAUACCGGAUAGGAGCUCCUGCUGCAUGGUGGGGGUUGGAAAGUUUCGGCGGUUGGGGAUGGACUCGCGGCUUAUCAGCUUGUUGGUGGGGUAGUGGCUUACCAAGGCUUUGACGGGUAGCCGGCCUGAGAGGGUGACCGGCCACAUUGGGACUGAGAUACGGCCCAGACUCCUACGGGAGGCAGCAGUGGGGAAUAUUGCACAAUGGGCGGAAGCCUGAUGCAGCAACGCCGCGUGCGGGAGGACGGCUUUCGGGUGGUAAACCGCUUUCGCCUGUGACGAAGCGUGAGUGACGGUAAUGGGGAAAGAAGCACCGGCUAACUACGU